Molecule: transfer RNA, 81 nt
Filed under: Pyrenophora seminiperda CCB06
Lineage: Eukaryota; Fungi; Ascomycota; Dothideomycetes; Pleosporales; Pleosporaceae
Description: tRNA-Leu (CAG) (tRNA-Leu-CAG-1-1)
Rfam family: tRNA
About the family: Transfer RNA (tRNA) molecules are approximately 80 nucleotides in length. Their secondary structure includes four short double-helical elements and three loops (D, anti-codon, and T loops).
Source: Rfam by way of RNAcentral
GGACAGAUGGCCGAGCGGUUAAGGCGCUAGCUUCAGGUGCUAGUCACGAAAGUGGCGUGGGUUCGAGUCCCACUCUGUUCA